This 252-nucleotide ribosomal RNA is filed under the name uncultured Bacteroidales bacterium. RNAcentral's name for it is "partial 16S ribosomal RNA". It matches the Rfam family "Bacterial small subunit ribosomal RNA", at positions 524 to 776 of the family's 1533-position model. Lineage: Bacteria; Pseudomonadati; Bacteroidota; Bacteroidia; Bacteroidales. The record is from RNAcentral.
UACGGAGGAUGCGAGCGUUAUCCGGAUUUAUUGGGUUUAAAGGGUGCGUAGGCGGGUUAUCAAGUCAGCGGUAAAAUCGUGGAGCUCAACUCCAUCCAGCCGUUGAAACUGAUGAUCUUGAGUGGGCGAGAAGUAUGCGGAAUGCGUGGUGUAGCGGUGAAAUGCAUAGAUAUCACGCAGAACACCGAUUGCGAAGGCAGCUUACAAAUCUAUAUCGGACGCUGAGGCACGAAAGCGUGGGGAGCAAACAGG